Molecule: long non-coding RNA, 726 nt
Filed under: Homo sapiens (human)
Lineage: Eukaryota; Metazoa; Chordata; Mammalia; Primates; Hominidae
Description: non-protein coding lnc-DRAXIN-2:1
Source: RNAcentral
GUGUGUUGCCAGGUACAUCAGUUCCAAAACUACUAAUCUACUUUCUGUUCUAUGGAUUGUCCAAUUACAGCUACUCAGGAAGCUGAGGCAGGCGAAUCGCUUGAACUUGGGAGGCAGAGGUUGCAGUGAGCCAAGAUCGCGCCACUGCACUCCAGCCUGGACAACAGAGCAAGACUGCAUCUCAAAAAAAAAAAAGAAAAAGCAAUCAGCAAACCUGCUAAAAACCUAAGUCGGAUCAUGUCUCUGCUCUGCUCAUGGUCCCUCUAAAAAGCUCAAGUCCUCCCUGUGGCCUUUGCAGGCUCACAUUGUUAGAGGUGUCUGAACCAGAGCAACCCCAUCUUGAGUAGGGGCUGGGUCAAAUGGGGUUGGGACUUGCUGGGCCAUAUUCCCAGAUGGCUAAGGCAUUCUAAGUCACAGUAUGAGACAGGAGAUCAGCACAAGAUACAGGUCAUAAAGACCUUGCUGAUAAAACAGUUUGCAGUAAGGAAGCCUGUCAAAACCCACCAAAAGCAAGAUGGCCACGAGACCAACCUCUGGUCAUCCUCACUGCUCCACUCCCACCAGUGCCAUGGCAGUUUACAAAUGCCAUGGCAACAUCAGGACGUUACCCUAUAUGGUCUAAAAAGGGGAAGCAAAGGCCAGGCACACUGGCUUACCCCUGUAACCCUAGCACUUUGGGAGGCCAAGGCAGGCAGAUUGCCUGGGGUCAGGAGUUCGAGACCCGCC